CUGAUGGAGCAAUACCACGUGAACGAUGAAGGUCUUCUGAUUGUAAAGUUCUUUUAUUUAGGAAAAAAAGCAGGAUAGGAAAUGAUUCUGCCGUGAUUGUACUAAUUGAAUAAGUGACAGCUAACUAUGUGCCAGCAGCUGCGGUAAAACAUAGGUCACGAGCAUUAUCCGGAUUUAUUGGGCGUAAAGGAAGCGUAGGUGGAGGAGUUGAUCCAUUGUCAAAAGCAUCUGCUUAACAGGUGUUCGCGAUGGAUAUCGCUUCUCUAGAAUUAGUUAGGGGGUACUGGAAUUCAAUGUGUAGCGGUGGAAUGCGUAGAUA
Molecule: ribosomal RNA, 319 nt
Filed under: Candidatus Mycoplasma haematolamae
Lineage: Bacteria; Bacillati; Mycoplasmatota; Mollicutes; Mycoplasmatales; Mycoplasmataceae
Description: bacterial SSU rRNA
Rfam family: Bacterial small subunit ribosomal RNA
Source: RNAcentral